GACGAACGCUGGCGGCGUGCUUAACACAUGCAAGUCGAACGGAAAGGCCCUGCUUUUGUGGGGUGCUCGAGUGGCGAACGGGUGAGUAACACGUGAGUAACCUGCCCUUGACUUUGGGAUAACUUCAGGAAACUGGGGCUAAUACCGGAUAGGAGCUCCUGCUGCAUGGUGGGGGUUGGAAAGUUUCGGCGGUUGGGGAUGGACUCGCGGCUUAUCAGCUUGUUGGUGGGGUAGUGGCUUACCAAGGCUUUGACGGGUAGCCGGCCUGAGAGGGUGACCGGCCACAUUGGGACUGAGAUACGGCCCAGACUCCUACGGGAGGCAGCAGUGGGGAAUAUUGCACAAUUGGCGGAAGCCUGAUGCAGCAACGCCGCGUGCGGGAUGACGGCCUUCGGGUUGUAAACCGCUUUCGCCUGUGACGAAGCGUGAGUGACGGAAAUGGGUAAAGAAGCACCGGCUAACUACGUG
This 468-nucleotide ribosomal RNA is filed under the name uncultured bacterium. RNAcentral describes it as "partial 16S ribosomal RNA". It matches the Rfam family "Bacterial small subunit ribosomal RNA", at positions 28 to 507 of the family's 1533-position model. The record is from RNAcentral.